This 497-nucleotide ribosomal RNA is filed under the name uncultured bacterium. Its description in RNAcentral is "partial 16S ribosomal RNA". It matches the Rfam family "Bacterial small subunit ribosomal RNA", at positions 28 to 507 of the family's 1533-position model. The record is from RNAcentral.
GAUGAACGCUGGCGGCGUGCCUAAUACAUGCAAGUCGAGCGAACAGACGAGGAGCUUGCUCUUUCGACGUUAGCGGCGGACGGGUGAGUAACACGUAGGUAACCUACCUAUAAGACUGGGAUAACUUCGGGAAACCGGAGCUAAUACCGGAUAAUAUUUCGAACCGCAUGGUUCGAUAGUGAAAGAUGGCUUUGCUAUCACUUAUAGAUGGAGCUGCGCUGUAUUAGCUAGUUGGUAAGGUAACGGCUUACCAAGGCAACGAUACGUAGCCGACCUGAGAGGGAGAUCGGCCACACUGGAACUGAGACACGGUCCAGACUCCUACGGGAGGCAGCAGUAGGGAAUCUUCCGCAAUGGGAGAAAGCCUGACGGAGCAACGCCGCGUGAGUGAUGAAGGUCUUCGGAUCGUAAAACUCUGUUAUUAGGGAAGAACAAACGUGUAAGUAACUGUGCACGUCUUGACGGUACCUAAUCAGAAAGCCACGGCUAACUACGUG